AUCCAUCUGAUGAGUCCUGAAUAGGACGAAAGGCGCAUCCUGCAU
This is a non-coding RNA of Schistosoma haematobium, 45 nucleotides long. Lineage: Eukaryota; Metazoa; Platyhelminthes; Trematoda; Strigeidida; Schistosomatidae. The record is from Rfam.